GACGAACGCUGGCGGCGUGCUUAACACAUGCAAGUCGAACGGUGAAGCGCCUUCCUUUUUGGUGGGUGUGGAUGAGUGGCGAACGGGUGAGUAACACGUGAGUAACCUGCCCCCUUCUUCUGGAUAACCGCAUGAAAGUGUGGCUAAUACGGGAUAUUCUGGGUCUGUCGCAUGAUGGGUCUGGGAAAGAUAUUGUUUCGGUGGGGGAUGGGCUCGCGGCCUAUCAGCUUGUUGGUGGGGUGAUGGCCUACCAAGGCGGUGACGGGUAGCCGGCCUGGGAGGGUGGACGGUCACACUGGGACUGAGACACGGCCCAGACUCCUACGGGAGGCAGCAGUGGGGAAUAUUGAACAAUGGGCGCAAGCCUGAUGCAGCGACGCCGCGUGAGGGAUGGAGGCCUUCGGGUUGUGAACCUCUUUCGCCAGUGAAGCAGGCCUGCCUCGUUUGUGGGUGGGUUGACGGUAGCUGGAUAAGAAGCGCCGGCUAACUACGUG
This 494-nucleotide ribosomal RNA is filed under the name uncultured bacterium. Its description in RNAcentral is "partial 16S ribosomal RNA". It matches the Rfam family "Bacterial small subunit ribosomal RNA", at positions 28 to 507 of the family's 1533-position model. The record is from RNAcentral.